This 777-nucleotide ribosomal RNA is filed under the name uncultured Neocallimastigales. RNAcentral describes it as "partial large subunit ribosomal RNA". It matches the Rfam family "Eukaryotic large subunit ribosomal RNA", at positions 23 to 620 of the family's 3401-position model. Lineage: Eukaryota; Fungi; Neocallimastigomycota; Neocallimastigomycetes; Neocallimastigales. The record is from RNAcentral.
AGAGAGAGACAUGCGCGCAUAUCAAUAAGCGGAGGAAAAGAAACUAACAAGGAUUCCCUUAGUAACGGCGAGUGAAGCGGGAAGAGCUCAAAUUUGAAAUCUUCAGGGUUUUACCUUGACGAAUUGUAGUUUAAAGAAGUGUUUUCUGCUGAAGUUUUGGUAAAAGUUCUUUGGAAUAGGACAUCAUAGAGGGUGAGAAUCCCGUAUUUGACCAUUAUUUUCAGCUUUGUGAUACACUUUCAAAGAGUCGGAUUGUUUGGGAAUGCAGUCCAAAAUGGGUGGUAAAUUUCAUCUAAAGCUAAAUAUUGGCGAGAGACCGAUAGCGAACAAGUACCGUGAGGGAAAGAUGAAAAGAACUUUGAAAAGAGAGUUAAACAGUACAGUGAAAUUGUCAAAAGGGAAGCGUUUGACACCAGUGUUGUUUUCUCGAAAAUCAAUUAAAAAUGGCUCGAUUUUGUAUUGCUUGAGACCUUAAAAGCUCACUGUACAUUUUUCGUGUCUUUUUUAAUGCACUUUUCGUUUAACAAGUCAACAUCAGUUUCUUUUGUUGUAAAAGGGUCAUUGGAAGGUGGCUUUCUUUUCGGAGAAAGUGUUUAUAGCCUUUGGCCUCUGCAAUCGGAGAGACUGAGGUCUGCAGCGUAGACUCUUCGGGGUUAGAUACAUUUGUGCUAAGUUAUAGCUUUUUAUAGACAACUUGUUGACUAUAAUUAGUCUUGUAGCUUGACUCGCUUAUGCUAUUUUACCUACGCUUAGGAUGUUGAAGAUGUAGCACAUCAU